Molecule: unclassified non-coding RNA, 361 nt
Filed under: soil metagenome
Description: partial contains 5.8S ribosomal RNA, internal transcribed spacer 2, and large subunit ribosomal RNA
Rfam family: 5.8S ribosomal RNA (bases 1-120)
Source: RNAcentral
GAUGAAGAACGUAGCGAAAUGCGAUAAGUAAUGUGAAUUGCAGAAUUUAGUGAAUCAUCGAAUCUUUGAACGCAUAUUGCGCCCGCCAGCACUCUGGCGGGCAUGCCUGUUCGAGCGUCAUUUCAACCCUCAGGCCUCGCGUCUGGCGUUGGGGCGCUGCGGCCCUCCCGCAGGCCCCCAAAUUUAGCGGCGGAUUCCCCGCGGCCCUGAGCGCAGUAGAGAGUAAAAACUUUAACGCUCCGGCGGCCGUGGCGCGGUUCUGCCUCUUUCCCAAUAGCGCCAAUAGCGCCACCCCCAAAAAAGUUGACCUCGGAUCAGGUAGGAAUACCCGCUGAACUUAAGCAUAUCAAUAAGCGGAGGA